ACGAGGGGUCCUAGCGUUGUUCGGAAUCAUUGGGCGUAAAGCGUUUGUAGGCGGCCCUAAAAGUCGGGUGUGAAAUCCCACGGCUCAACCGUGGAAGUGCAUUCGAAACUGUAGGGCUUGGGUAUGGAAGAGGAGAGUAGAAUUCCUGGUGUAGUGGUGAAAUACGUAGAUAUCAGGAGGAAUACCGGUGGCGAAGGCGGCUCUCUGGUCCAAUACUGACGCUGAGAAACGAAAGUGUGGGGAUCAAACAGGA
This 253-nucleotide ribosomal RNA is filed under the name uncultured prokaryote. RNAcentral's name for it is "partial 16S ribosomal RNA". It matches the Rfam family "Bacterial small subunit ribosomal RNA", at positions 525 to 777 of the family's 1533-position model. The record is from RNAcentral.